This 442-nucleotide ribosomal RNA is filed under the name uncultured bacterium. Its description in RNAcentral is "SSU rRNA". It matches the Rfam family "Bacterial small subunit ribosomal RNA", at positions 26 to 518 of the family's 1533-position model. The record is from RNAcentral.
AGAGCGAACGCUGGCGGCAGGCUUAACACAUGCAAGUCGAGCGCCCCGCAAGGGGAGCGGCAGACGGGUGAGUAACGCGUGGGAACGUACCUUUUGGUUCGGAACAACACAGGGAAACUUGUGCUAAUACCGGAUAAGCCCUUACGGGGAAAGAUUUAUCGCCGAAAGAUCGGCCCGCGUCUGAUUAGCUAGUUGGUGAGGUAACGGCUCACCAAGGCGACGAUCAGUAGCUGGUCUGAGAGGAUGAUCAGCCACAUUGGGACUGAGACACGGCCCAAACUCCUACGGGAGGCAGCAGUGGGGAAUAUUGGACAAUGGGCGCAAGCCUGAUCCAGCCAUGCCGCGUGAGUGAUGAAGGCCCUAGGGUUGUAAAGCUCUUUUAACGGGAAGAUAAUGACGGUACCCGUAGAAUAAGCCCGGCUAACUUCGUGCCAGCAGCCGC